UACAGGUAAAUUAUGUUGGAUUGACUUGAGGUAAUAAAUCUCAGCUUCAUCCUGCCUCUACUGCAACGACUGCUGCUGCCAGGUGUGUGUCGAGUGACCAGAGAGCGACUGUAAGAUUAUGGAUUUCUGACACCCACUGCUCACGAGGAAAGUGUUGAAGUCUUUGUUUUGAGCUGAGGUGAUAACGACUGAAGUUAUCGGUCUGACGGCUUGGCAAGGUCUUGGCGUGACGGCUUGGCAAGGUCUUGACGUGACGGCUUGGCAAGGUCUUGACGUGACGGCUUGGCAAGGUCUUGACGUGACGGCUUGGCAAGGUCUUGACGUGACGGCUUGGCAAGGUCUUGACGUGACGGCUGGGCAAGGUCUUGACGUGACGGCUGGGCAAGGUCUUGACGUGACGGCUGGGCAAGGUCUUGACGUGACGGCUGGGCAAGGUCUUGACGUGACGGCUGGGCAAGGUCUUGACGUGACGGCUGGGCAAGGUCUUGACGUGACGGCUGGGCAAGGUCUUGACGUGACGGCUUGCCAAGAUCUUUGGUGCUCCAAGCUCCUAUGCCAGUGAGCUUAACUCAACAUCACCAGAAAAAAAUAAACUAAACUAAACUGAAAAAUUGUUGCAAAGACCCACGAUUAAUAAUCUAUCAGUAAACCAUUGUGCACGAUCUUAGCUGAGUUAAUUCAUCUUAAAUUGGUUUCAUUGUUGUAAAUUAACGUUGAUAAAAUCUGCUCCCAACGGUGAUUGUUCCACCAUCAAUACUUUUGGACUUGACAAAAGACGAAGAACAGUGUUGUUUUGUGCUUGGAUUUUCAUGAAAGUUUAUAUUUAAAUACCGAGAUUAAUUAGUUUUAAACCAUAAAGACAGCGAACAUAAUAGUGCCCAUAGUGAGAUACUGAACGAGCUAUAAGACACAAAAGGGAAACAAAAAUAAGUGAAAUAGUUC
Molecule: long non-coding RNA, 942 nt
Organism: Homarus americanus (American lobster)
Lineage: Eukaryota; Metazoa; Arthropoda; Malacostraca; Decapoda; Nephropidae
Exons: 3
Source: RefSeq, a predicted model, not a curated record